UUAUCUUCGUUGUCUUUUGGUUAAGAUCAAAUGCAGUAUCUGUUCUUAUCAGUUUAUUAUCUGAUGCAUACAUUAUCUGAGAAAUAUAUACUAAACUGAAUUUUUAGAACAGAGAGAAAAACUAUGGGCUUAUGCUUGUUUAAGUGUGUUUUAGCUGCUUUUCUGUAUACAUAGGCUUCUCUGUAUAUGUAGACUAGCU
Protopterus annectens (West African lungfish) is the source of this 199-nucleotide small nuclear RNA. RefSeq annotates it as U2 spliceosomal RNA. The transcript has a single exon. The record is from RefSeq and is a predicted model, not a curated record. NCBI's taxonomy places the organism in Eukaryota, Metazoa, Chordata, Ceratodontiformes, Protopteridae.